Molecule: ribosomal RNA, 420 nt
Filed under: Fusobacteriota bacterium
Lineage: Bacteria; Fusobacteriati; Fusobacteriota
Description: Fusobacteria bacterium partial 16S ribosomal RNA
Rfam family: Bacterial small subunit ribosomal RNA
Source: RNAcentral
UGGGGGAUAUUGCUCAAUGGGCGAAAGCCUGAUGCAGCGACGCCGCGUGGGGGAUGAAGGCCUUCGGGUUGUAAACUUCUUUUGCUCUGAACAAGGCAUGCCUUUGGGGUGUGUUGAGUGUAGGGGUUGAUUAGCGCCGGCUAACUACGUGCCAGCAGCCGCGGUAAUACGUAGGGCGCGAGCGUUGUCCGGAAUUAUUGGGCGUAAAGGGCUUGUAGGUGGCUGGUUGCGUCUGUCGUGAAAGCUCAUGGCUUAACUGUGGGUUUGCGGUGGGUACGGGCUGGCUUGAGUGCAGUAGGGGAGGCUGGAAUUCCUGGUGUAGCGGUGGAAUGCGCAGAUAUCAGGAGGAAUACCGGUGGCGAAGGCGGGUCUCUGGGCUGUUACUGACGCUGAGGAGCGAAAGCGUGGGGAGCGAACAGG